RNAcentral lists this ribosomal RNA (498 nucleotides) under uncultured bacterium. RNAcentral describes it as "bacterial SSU rRNA". It matches the Rfam family "Bacterial small subunit ribosomal RNA", at positions 876 to 1375 of the family's 1533-position model. The record is from RNAcentral.
GGGAGUACGUUCGCAAGAAUGAAACUCAAAGGAAUUGACGGGGGCCCGCACAAGCGGAGGAACAUGUGGUUUAAUUCGAUGAUACGCGAGGAACCUUACCCGGGCUUGAAAGUUAGUGACGGAUCUUGAAAGAGGUCUUCCCUUCGGGGCACGAAACUAGGUGCUGCAUGGUUGUCGUCAGCUCGUGCCGUGAGGUGUCGGGUUAAGUCCCAUAACGAGCGCAACCCCUACCGUUAGUUGCCAUCAGGUCAAGCUGGGCACUCUGGCGGGACUGCCGGUGUAAGCCGAGAGGAAGGUGGGGAUGACGUCAAAUCAGCACGGCCCUUACGUCCGGGGCUACACACGUGUUACAAUGGCAGGUACAGAGGGCAGCUACCCCGCGAGGGGAUGCGAAUCUCGAAAGCCUGUCUCAGUUCGGAUUGGAGGCUGAAACCCGCCUCCAUGAAGUUGGAUUCGCUAGUAAUCGCGCAUCAGCCAUGGCGCGGUGAAUACGUUCCC